GACACAACUUUUCCACGGCAGGUCUUGCUUUCUGGAGGGGAAGCAGAGAGGCUGUGAAGACGGGGUGAGGGGACAAGAAAGCGGAAGGAGGCUCCAAGCCCUCAGGCCGGCCAGGAGUCACUGCUCUCCCAGACAUGGGAUCUGUGGAGCUGGCGAGGGACCUGAGGGGUCCAGGCCAACCUUCACCGCCACCCCCAUCCCUGGCACCUGGGCCAGAUCUGCUCGUAAGAGACUAUUCGUGCAAAAUGACCACAAGAUACUGGCCCAGGCUGGGCAUGGAGUAGGAGACAGAAGACCUUCGGUAAACAAUAGCUGUCGUUAGGCUGCACAGGGCCUGGCAAGAAGUGAACGCUUCAUGCGUGGGAGUCGUGCUGAGUAACAACUGCCGUUCUGGAGGUGUGCCGACUGUGAGCUCAGGAUAGGGCCUUUUCUCUCCCUCUUGGGGGUUUCUCAUGCCCUUCCCCUUUCAUUUGUGUCUGGGUCAUCCUGGUCUGCUUUUAGCCAGUUAUUUCUGGUCUGUUCUUUGAGGGGAGGGAUCCCACACAUUGAAAUGUUUCUCCUCCGACUCUAGGAGACUUGAGGGUAAACAGGUGGUAAGCGAACGCUCCAGUCCCCAGCUCGGCUUGGCCUCACGAGAGCAGCCCCAGAUUGACAAAGGAGCCCUGGCCUGGCCGGGUGGGCCGGUCCACCACGACACCCUCUCGGAACUCGGAUUCCUCAUCCUGACGCAUGUGGUCCCCUCCUCCUUGAGCCCCAGAGACCCAAGUGAGGAUGGCCCCUCACUUGGCAUCUUGGCCCUCUUCAUCGAACACCACAAUCUCAUCCACACAGAAGAUGGCGCAGGCUCUGGCAAUCUGGCCGGCCAGGUCUGUACGGCCCCUGACCCUCCAGAGCAUCAGGUCUGGCCAAGGAGAAGAUACAAUUUGUUAGGGUAGAUCCAAAUGUACUGACGUGGAAGGGCAGCCAGGAUGCAAUGUGGGAUGAGAAACACCAGGCCCAGAAGUGCACGAUCAAGGGCUCUCACUUCUGUAAAACUGUGUCUACACAUCUCUCUACGUGUGUCUGAGCGGGGACAACAACAUCUGGAGAAACGUUCACUGCCAGGCUUGCUGGGACUUUUCUUCAUUAUAGUUUUCUGUAUGGUUCGAGGGGUUUUGUUUUGAGGAUGUAUUAGUUAAUGAGGAAAAAAAGAGGCAUUCUUAUUAUGGAAUCGAAAUAAUUAAAUGAAAAAUGAAAUUAAAGUUCUCAAUAAAAAAAGCAAAACAUGGG
Equus quagga is the source of this 1269-nucleotide long non-coding RNA. RefSeq lists it as uncharacterized. The transcript is spliced from 6 exons. NCBI's taxonomy places the organism in Eukaryota, Metazoa, Chordata, Mammalia, Perissodactyla, Equidae. The record is from RefSeq and is a predicted model, not a curated record.